CGAGAUUAACUAUUUGCAUUCUCCUGGAACAAUGGAUGAUUUGAAGCCCGUGACACAUCUUUUUGCCGUUGACAUCACUUUAGCGAGUGGGAUUAAGUUACUUCGCCAAGGCUUCAAUUAUCUGAUAGAAGGGUCCAAAGAUGCUCGUGUAGGUCUUCUGU
Molecule: long non-coding RNA, 161 nt
Organism: Lathyrus oleraceus (garden pea)
Lineage: Eukaryota; Viridiplantae; Streptophyta; Magnoliopsida; Fabales; Fabaceae
Exons: 3
Source: RefSeq, a predicted model, not a curated record